Dryobates pubescens (Downy woodpecker) is the source of this 623-nucleotide long non-coding RNA. RefSeq lists it as uncharacterized. The transcript has 3 exons. NCBI's taxonomy places the organism in Eukaryota, Metazoa, Chordata, Aves, Piciformes, Picidae. The record is from RefSeq and is a predicted model, not a curated record.
UUGGUUGGAGAUGACUGCACCAGGGUAUACAGACAAGCUUUACCUGCAGUUUUACUAACAUAUGCAGAAAGACUGAAGCAUCUUCUGACUGUCAUUGUUGCCAUCAGCAAGGAGAAAAAAUAGGUAACUGGCAUUUCUUAAGCCAGAUGUAUCUAGACCAUCACAGUAAGAGCAUCCUGUGCAAACAAAAGCAGAUUUUCCUGUUUGUCUUAAACCAGUUGACAAUAUAAAACAAACCAAUUCCAAACAGGACUGUCAGAGGCAAACGAUAAUCUUCCACUUCUUUUAGUGCCUGCUAAAGGAUUUAUACUUCUAUGAUACUCCUGAGUUCAGUCUGCAAAAUGGCCACUGCUUGGAAGGACACCUGGCCUUUCGCCAGUGCCAGCUAUUCAUGUUAAAUCACUACAGCAUCAAAGGGAGCUUAACAAAGAAGACACAGCUGAUACCACUGGCAGUAGUGGAAGUCCUGUAACCACUCAUGCAUCACACCUUAUGUUGCACUCCAGCCUUGGGAAAACUUCAGAAAAAUUUAAGAAGGCUUUUUCUAUUAAGAGAAAUGUUAAUGAACAUCAGUGUUGUACCUUUUGUAAUUUUAAAUUAGAGGAUGCUAAACAGCAACAAAA